Molecule: ribosomal RNA, 854 nt
Filed under: uncultured fungus
Lineage: Eukaryota; Fungi
Description: SSU rRNA
Rfam family: Eukaryotic small subunit ribosomal RNA
Source: RNAcentral
GUAGUCAUAUGCUUGUCUCAAAGAUUAAGCCAUGCAUGUCUAAGUAUAAGCAACUAUACGGUGAAACUGCGAAUGGCUCAUUAAAUCAGUUAUCGUUUAUUUGAUAGUACCUUACUACUUGGAUAACCGUGGUAAUUCUAGAGCUAAUACAUGCUAAAAGCCCCGACUUCGGGAGGGGCGUAUUUAUUAGAUAAAAGACCAAUGCCCUUCGGGGCUCCUUGGUGAUUCAUGAUAACUUAACGAAUCGCAUGGCCUUGCGCCGGCGAUGGUUCAUUCAAAUUUCUGCCCUAUCAACUUUCGAUGGUAGGAUAGUGGCCUACCAUGGUAUCAACGGGUAACGGGGAAUUAGGGUUCUAUUCCGGAGAGGGAGCCUGAGAAACGGCUACCACAUCCAAGGAAGGCAGCAGGCGCGCAAAUUACCCAAUCCCGACACGGGGAGGUAGUGACAAUAAAUACUGAUACAGGGCUCUUUUGGGUCUUGUAAUUGGAAUGAGUACAAUUUAAAUCCCUUAACGAGGAACAAUUGGAGGGCAAGUCUGGUGCCAGCAGCCGCGGUAAUUCCAGCUCCAAUAGCGUAUAUUAAAGUUGUUGCAGUUAAAAAGCUCGUAGUUGAACCUUGGGCCUGGCUGGCCGGUCCGCCUAACCGCGUGUACUGGUCCGGCCGGGCCUUUCCUUCUGGGGAGCCGCAUGCCCUUCACUGGGUGUGUCGGGGAACCAGGACUUUUACUUUGAAAAAAUUAGAGUGUUCAAAGCAGGCCUAUGCUCGAAUACAUUAGCAUGGAAUAAUAGAAUAGGACGUGUGGUUCUAUUUUGUUGGUUUCUAGGACCGCCGUAAUGAUUAAUAGGGAUAGUCG